AAAAUGACAAAAAUAGCAUUUUAUCUUUUGAAAAAUUUAAUUUUUUUUUAUUUUUCAAAAUUUGAAAUCUUAUCCCAAAACCCCACUCUCCAACUCUAAACCCUAAACUCUAAAUCUUAAACUCCACCCCUUAACUUUAAACCCUAAACCCUAAAUCAUAACUUUAAACCCUAAACCCUAAAUCAUAAACUCCAAGUUGCUGAACUUAGCCAACAGAACUAUGAAGAUAGCACCAUGAAACAGAGCCAUCACCGAGUCG
This 259-nucleotide long non-coding RNA is filed under the name Brassica napus (rape). Its description in RNAcentral is "long non-coding RNA (BNAP_LNC017318)". The record is from RNAcentral. Lineage: Eukaryota; Viridiplantae; Streptophyta; Magnoliopsida; Brassicales; Brassicaceae.